Molecule: ribosomal RNA, 200 nt
Filed under: uncultured bacterium
Lineage: Bacteria
Description: partial 16S ribosomal RNA
Rfam family: Bacterial small subunit ribosomal RNA
Source: RNAcentral
ACGCUCGACACCUACGGGAGGUAGCAGUGGGGAAUAUUGCACAAUGGGGGAAACCCUGAUGCAGCGACGCCGCGUGAGGGAAGAAGUAUUUCGGUAUGUAAACUUCUAUCAGCAGGGAAGAAGAAAGUGACGGUACCUGACUAAGAAGCCCCGGCUAACUACGUGCCACAGCCGCGGUAAUCUGAGCGGGCUGGCAAGGC